This 45-nucleotide transfer RNA is filed under the name Tylos sp. clade H MM-2013. RNAcentral's name for it is "partial tRNA-Val". Lineage: Eukaryota; Metazoa; Arthropoda; Malacostraca; Isopoda; Tylidae. The record is from RNAcentral.
UUUGUACGAAAGGACUAUUGAAUAAAAAAAGUUUUUCUAUUAGAG